Molecule: long non-coding RNA, 141 nt
Organism: Bradysia coprophila
Lineage: Eukaryota; Metazoa; Arthropoda; Insecta; Diptera; Sciaridae
Source: RefSeq, a predicted model, not a curated record
AGAGAUUAGCACUCUCAAUUCAGCGUGGAAAUGUUGCAUCGAUUCUUGGUACAAUUCCACCUUCCACGAACUUGGCAGAAUUAUUUUAGUUAUAAAUAAUGUAAAAUACUGUUAAAUAAAUCCAAAAAUCUUUUGUAUAUA